This 384-nucleotide ribosomal RNA is filed under the name uncultured Pseudomonas sp. RNAcentral describes it as "bacterial SSU rRNA". It matches the Rfam family "Bacterial small subunit ribosomal RNA", at positions 1003 to 1382 of the family's 1533-position model. The record is from RNAcentral. Lineage: Bacteria; Pseudomonadati; Pseudomonadota; Gammaproteobacteria; Pseudomonadales; Pseudomonadaceae.
GAGAUGGAUUGGUGCCUUCGGGAACUCUGACACAGGUGCUGCAUGGCUGUCGUCAGCUCGUGUCGUGAGAUUAGUUCGGGUUAAGUCCCGUAACGAGCGCAACCCUUGUCCUUAGUUACCAGCACGUUAUGGUGGGCACUCUAAGGAGACUGCCGGUGACAAACCGGAGGGAAGGUGGGGAUGACGUCAAGUCAUCAUGGCCCUUACGGCCUGGGCUACACACGUGCUACAAUGGUCGGUACAAAGGGUUGCCAAGCCGCGAGGUGGAGCUAAUCCCAUAAAACCGAUCGUAGUCCGGAUCGCAGUCUGCAACUCGACUGCGUGAAGUCGGAAUCGCUAGUAAUCGUGAAUCAGAAUGUCACGGUGAAUACGUUCCCGGGCCUU